RNAcentral lists this ribosomal RNA (404 nucleotides) under uncultured bacterium. RNAcentral describes it as "bacterial SSU rRNA". It matches the Rfam family "Bacterial small subunit ribosomal RNA", at positions 133 to 523 of the family's 1533-position model. The record is from RNAcentral.
UCAGAAGGGGAUAACACUUGGAAACAGGUGCUAAUACCGUAUAACACUAUUUUCCGCAUGGAAGAAAGUUGAAAGGCGCUUUUUGCGUCACUGAUGGAUGGACCCGCGGUGCAUUAGCUAGUUGGUGAGGUAACGGCUCACCAAGGCCACGAUGCAUAGCCGACCUGAGAGGGUGAUCGGCCACACUGGGACUGAGACACGGCCCAGACUCCUACGGGAGGCAGCAGUAGGGAAUCUUCGGCAAUGGACGAAAGUCUGACCGAGCAACGCCGCGUGAGUGAAGAAGGUUUUCGGAUCGUAAAACUCUGUUGUUAGAGAAGAACAAGGAUGAGAGUAGAACGUUCAUCCCUUGACGGUAUCUAACCAGAAAGCCACGGCUAACUACGUGCCAGCAGCCGCGGUAA